UGGGGAAUAUUGGACAAUGGGGGGAACCCUGAUCCAGCCAUGCCGCGUGUGUGAAGAAGGCCUUAUGGUUGUAAAGCACUUUAAGCGAGGAGGAGGGUACUGGUAUUAAUACUACCAGGUACUGGACGUUACUCGCAGAAUAAGCACCGGCUAACUCUGUGCCAGCAGCCGCGGUAAUACAGAGGGUGCGAGCGUUAAUCGGAUUUACUGGGCGUAAAGCGUGCGUAGGCGGCUAAUUGAGUCGGAUGUGAAAUCCCCGAGCUUAACUUUGGAAUUUCAAUCUGUACUGGUUUGCUAAAGUGUUGGAGAGGAUUGUAGAAUUCCCGGGUUAGCCGUUAAAUGCCUUACGAUCUGGGGGAAUACCGAUGGCGAAGGCAGCCAUCUGGCCUAACACUGACGCUGAGGUACGAAAGCAUGGGGAGCAAACAGG
RNAcentral lists this ribosomal RNA (430 nucleotides) under Pseudomonadota bacterium. Its description in RNAcentral is "Proteobacteria bacterium partial 16S ribosomal RNA". It matches the Rfam family "Bacterial small subunit ribosomal RNA", at positions 355 to 776 of the family's 1533-position model. The record is from RNAcentral. Lineage: Bacteria; Pseudomonadati; Pseudomonadota.